This 1187-nucleotide small RNA is filed under the name Pan troglodytes (chimpanzee). Its description in RNAcentral is "retained intron". Lineage: Eukaryota; Metazoa; Chordata; Mammalia; Primates; Hominidae. The record is from RNAcentral.
GAGCAAGCGCCAUGUUGAAGCCAUCAUUACCAUUCACAUCCCUCUUAUUCCUGCAGCUGCCCCUGCUGGGAGUGGGGCUGAACACGACAAUUCUGACGCCCAAUGGGAAUGAAGACACCACAGCUGGUGGGAAAUCUGGGACUGGAGGGGGCUGGUGAGAAGGGUGGCUGUGGGAAGGGGCCGUACAGAAAUCUGGUACCUGCCACUGGCCAUUACAAUCAUGUGGGCAGAAUUGAAAAGUGGAGUGGGAAGGGCAAGGGGGAGGGUUCCCUGCCUCACGCUACUUCUUCUUUCUUUCUUGUUUGUUUGUUUGUUUCUUUCUUUUGAGGCAGGGUCUCACUAUGUUGCCUAGGCUGGUCUCAAACUCCUGGCCUCUAGUGAUCCUCCUGCGUCCGCCUUUCAAAGCACCAGGAUUACAGACAUGAGCCACCGUGCUUGGCCUCCUCCUUCUGACCAUCAUUUCUCUUUCCCUCCCUGCCUUCAUUUUCUCCCCAAUCUAGAUUUCUUCCUGACCUCUAUGCCCACUGACUCCCUCAGUGUUUCCACUCUGCCCCUCCCAGAGGUUCAGUGUUUUGUGUUCAAUGUCGAGUACAUGAAUUGCACUUGGAACAGCAGCUCUGAGCCCCAGCCUACCAACCUCACUCUGCAUUAUUGGUACAAGAACUCGGAUAAUGAUAAAGUCCAGAAGUGCAGCCACUAUCUAUUCUCUGAAGAAAUCACUUCUGGCUGUCAGUUGCAAAAAAAGGAGAUCCACCUCUACCAAACAUUUGUUGUUCAGCUCCAGGACCCACGGGAACCCAGGAGACAGGCCACACAGAUGCUAAAACUGCAGAAUCUGGGUAAUUUGGAAAGAAAGGGUCAAGAGACCAGGGAUACUGUGGGACAUUGGAGUCUACGGAGUAGUGUUCUUUUAUCAUAAGGGUACAUGGGCAGAAAAGAGGAGGUAGGGGAUCAGGAUGGGAAGGGAGGAGGUAUUAGGGGCACUACCUUCAGGAUCCUGACUUGUCUAGGCCAGGGGAAUGACCACAUAUGCACACAUAUCUCCAGUGAUCCCCUGGGCUCCAGAGAACCUAACACUUCACAAACUGAGUGAAUCCCAGCUAGAACUGAACUGGAACAACAGAUUCUUGAACCACUGUUUGGAGCACUUGGUGCAGUACCGGACUGACUGGGACCACAGCUGGACU